RNAcentral lists this ribosomal RNA (310 nucleotides) under uncultured bacterium. RNAcentral's name for it is "bacterial SSU rRNA". It matches the Rfam family "Bacterial small subunit ribosomal RNA", at positions 28 to 334 of the family's 1533-position model. The record is from RNAcentral.
GACGAACGCUGGCGGCGUGCUUAACACAUGCAAGUCGAACGGUGAACGCAGGAGCUUGCUCCUGCCGGAUCAGUGGCGAACGGGUGAGUAACACGUGAGCAAUCUGCCCCGAACUCUGGGAUAAGCACUGGAAACGGUGUCUAAUACUGGAUACGACGCGGGAGGGCAUCCUCACCGCGUGGAAAGAAUUUCGGUUCGGGAUGAGCUCACGGCCCAUCAGCUUGUUGGUGAGGUAAUGGCUCACCAAGGCGACGACGGGUAGCCGGCCUGAGAGGGUGACCGGCCACACUGGGACUGAGACACGGCCCAG